Molecule: long non-coding RNA, 579 nt
Organism: Esox lucius (northern pike)
Lineage: Eukaryota; Metazoa; Chordata; Actinopteri; Esociformes; Esocidae
Exons: 5
Source: RefSeq, a predicted model, not a curated record
CCUUAAGAAGGAGAGGAACUGAAGAACUCACAUCACAGGAAGACUCAGUGGAGGUUUUAGAAGAGGCCUUAACAAGUUGUGUGAUAAACUGAGGUGCUCAGAAGGGCCACCCGAAUUUAAUCGGGGAUGGCACCAGUUUGGAUCCUGCUGCUUCCGUUUUGAAGAGACUCUGAGGUCAUGGACUGAGGCAGAGCGUCACUGUCAGUCUCUUGGUGGACACCUGGCCUCAGUACACAGCUGGAAGGAGUCUAGGUUCCUGGAGACGUUGUCUGUAGGUUCACCUUUGACCUGGAUUGGAGGAAAUGAUGGUGGUCGGCCAGAGUUGACAAAGGACAGGAGCUGGACCUGGACUGAUGGAUCUGGAUUUAAUUACCAUGAAUGGGCACAAGGGGAACCCAACAACUAUAAUGGUGUCAGAGAGCCGUGUAUUCAGAUGAACUUUGGAGAAAAACAUCGCUGGAAUGACGACGUCUGUGAGAAGCGCUUUGCAUCAGUCUGCUCCAGAAGCCAUUAAAUGAACGUGUUGCUGUGACAUCAUCCUGUUGAAUGAUGUGGUUGUCAAUAAAACAGCUGAACACA